UCUUUUUGCAAGUUCCUUGGCCAUUGUUUGAUGGUCGAUGAGAAUGAACUAAAUCCCGCACAUUCAGUAUGUCAUCUUUGUUAGUAUUUCAGUAAUUCUAUAUUAGUAAAAUCCCCUGCUACUACACACCUCAGUAACAGAGUAAUUCCAUCUUAGUAUUUCCUCCAUCCUAUUUUGUAGUAUUUUCAGUAAUUCUCUAUUACUAAAACCCCUGCUACUACGUACCUCAGUAUUGAGUAGUUAGGCAUGUAGUAUCAGUAAUUUGUUAGUUUAGUAGUUAGACCAGUAUUUUUUUCGACUCUUUUGAGCACUGAUGAUAUGAACCGAGUAGGUAGUCUAGUAGUUUAGUAAUGAAAUACUAGACUAUUGAGCUGCAUGAGAUUGAAAUAGAGCUCAGUAACUAAAACUACUGAAACUAAAAAAACUACUAAGCUCGUGCAAUUUUAUAUUCAGUAACUCAACAUAGUUUGAAUAGGCUAAUUCCUAAAUCAUCUAGAGCCAGAUACUCAACAUAGUUUGAAUAUGCUAAUUACUGAAUCAUCUGCACAUUUUUUUACCUAUAUAUAUGUUCUAGGUUUUUUCGGGGUAUAUUGGAAAUGGAGACACGCUAAACCCGUCAAGCUAGUCAUUAAACAAGCAACGGCGCUGACAAAUUGAGAGUUUUACCGGUGGUAGGUUUAUGUGGCAAUAACACCCCUUUCCGACUCAUCGUCUUAUGCAUACGACAGCGAUAGUACUGAAUUUCACAAAGGAGAGGGGUUCCAAGUGAAGAGAAAGAUACUUUAUGUGUUUUUUAAGGCUUUUUUUAUUUUUGGAGGUUGCAUGAGAUAGUUAAUCAUAACUAAUAUGUGUACAUAUGCAUAGUCACCGCCCAACUAUAUGUAUAUCCUUGGAUUCAGUAAUCCAGUAAUUAUGUACAUGUACUAUUCGGCAUUAUGUACUUUUUCCAGUAAUUUCUCAGGUUUUUCUAGUAACACGCCAUGUACGUGCUGACAUUCAAUAAUUGGGAGAUCCAGUUA
Panicum virgatum (switchgrass) is the source of this 1019-nucleotide long non-coding RNA. RefSeq lists it as uncharacterized. The record is from RefSeq and is a predicted model, not a curated record. The transcript has 2 exons. Lineage: Eukaryota; Viridiplantae; Streptophyta; Magnoliopsida; Poales; Poaceae.